AUUGAACGCUGGCGGCAGGCCUAACACAUGCAAGUCGAGCGGUAACAUUUCUAGCUUGCUAGAAGAUGACGAGCGGCGGACGGGUGAGUAACGCGUAGAAAUCUGCCUGGUAGUGGGGGAUAGCCCAGAGAAAUUUGGAUUAAUACCGCAUACGCCCUACGGGGGAAAGCAGGGGAUCUUCGGACCUUGCGCUAUUGGAUGUGCCUAUGUCGGAUUAGCUAGUUGGUGGGGUAAAGGCCUACCAAGGCGACGAUCCGUAGCUGGUCUGAGAGGAUGAUCAGCCACAUCGGGACUGAGACACGGCCCGA
This 308-nucleotide ribosomal RNA is filed under the name uncultured bacterium. RNAcentral describes it as "bacterial SSU rRNA". It matches the Rfam family "Bacterial small subunit ribosomal RNA", at positions 30 to 334 of the family's 1533-position model. The record is from RNAcentral.